Molecule: transfer RNA, 70 nt
Filed under: Camelus dromedarius (Arabian camel)
Lineage: Eukaryota; Metazoa; Chordata; Mammalia; Artiodactyla; Camelidae
Also listed under: 1 other name
Rfam family: tRNA
About the family: Transfer RNA (tRNA) molecules are approximately 80 nucleotides in length.
Source: Rfam by way of RNAcentral
AAGGGUAUAGCUUAGUGGUAGAGUGCAUGCUUAACAUGCAUGAGAUUUGGACUCAAUCCCAGUCACCUUC